CAACUUGAGAGUUUGAUCCUGGCUCAGAACGAACGCUGGCGGCAGGCCUAACACAUGCAAGUCGAACGCCCCGCAAGGGGAGUGGCAGACGGGUGAGUAACGCGUGGGAACCUACCCUAAGGUGCGGAAUAGCCCAGGGAAACUUGGAGUAAUACCGCAUAAGCCCGCAAGGGGAAAGAUUUAUCGCCUUUGGAUGGGCCCGCGUCUGAUUAGCUAGUUGGUGAGGUAAUGGCUCACCAAGGCGACGAUCAGUAGCUGGUUUGA
This 264-nucleotide ribosomal RNA is filed under the name Hyphomicrobiaceae bacterium. RNAcentral's name for it is "partial 16S ribosomal RNA". It matches the Rfam family "Bacterial small subunit ribosomal RNA", at positions 1 to 295 of the family's 1533-position model. Lineage: Bacteria; Pseudomonadati; Pseudomonadota; Alphaproteobacteria; Hyphomicrobiales; Hyphomicrobiaceae. The record is from RNAcentral.